This 530-nucleotide ribosomal RNA is filed under the name uncultured bacterium. Its description in RNAcentral is "partial 16S ribosomal RNA". It matches the Rfam family "Bacterial small subunit ribosomal RNA", at positions 28 to 523 of the family's 1533-position model. The record is from RNAcentral.
GACGAACGCUGGCGGCAUGCCUAAUACAUGCAAGUCGAACGAACUCUGGUAAUGAUUGGUGCUUGCAUCAUGAAUUACAUUUGAGUGAGUGGCGAACUGGUGAGUAACACGUGGGAAACCUGCCCAGAAGCGGGGGAUAACACCUGGAAACAGAUGCUAAUACCGCAUAACAACUUGGACCGCAUGGUCCGAGUUUGAAAGAUGGCUUCGGCUAUCACUUUUGGAUGGUCCCGCGGCGUAUUAGCUAGAUGGUGAGGUAACGGCUCACCAUGGCAAUGAUACGUAGCCGACCUGAGAGGGUAAUCGGCCACAUUGGGACUGAGACACGGCCCAAACUCCUACGGGAGGCAGCAGUAGGGAAUCUUCCACAAUGGACGAAAGUCUGAUGGAGCAACGCCGCGUGAGUGAAGAAGGGUUUCGGCUCGCAAAACUCUGUUGUUAAAGAAGAACAUAUCUGAGAGUAACUGUUCAGGUAUUGACGGUAUUUAACCAGAAAGCCACGGCUAACUACGUGCCAGCAGCCGCCGUAA